GACGAAGACGCAGCGAAAUGCGAUAAGUAAUGUGAAUUGCAGAAUUCAGUGAAUCAUCGAAUCUUUGAACGCACAUUGCGCCCGCCAGUAUUCUGGCGGGCAUGCCUGUUCGAGCGUCAUUUCAACCAUCAAGCCCUGCUUGCGUUGGGGUCCUGCGGCUGCCCGCAGGCCCUGAAAACCAGUGGCGGGCUCGCUAGUCACACCGAGCGCAGUAAUACAUCUCGCUUUGGGCGUGCGGCGGGUUCUUGCCGUUAAACACCCCCUUUUUACCAAGGUUGACCUCGGAUCAGGUAGGAAUACCCGCUGAACUUAAGCAUAUCAAUAAGCGGAGGA
Molecule: unclassified non-coding RNA, 333 nt
Filed under: soil metagenome
Description: partial contains 5.8S ribosomal RNA, internal transcribed spacer 2, and large subunit ribosomal RNA
Rfam family: 5.8S ribosomal RNA (bases 5-119)
Source: RNAcentral